AACGAACGCUGGCGGCAUGCCUAACACAUGCAAGUCGAACGAGACCUUCGGGUCUAGUGGCGCACGGGUGCGUAACGCGUGGGAACCUGCCCUUAGGUUCGGAAUAACUCCCCGAGAGGGGUGCUAAUACCGGAUAAUGUCUUCGGACCAAAGAUUUAUCGCCUUUGGAUGGGCCCGCGUUGGAUUAGCUAGUUGGUAGGGUAAAAGCCUACCAAGGCGACGAUCCAUAGCUGGUCUGAGAGGAUGAUCCGCCACACUGGGACUGAGACACGGCCCAGACUCCUACGGGAAGCAGCAGUGGGGAAUAUUGGACAAUGGGCGAAAGCCUGAUCCAGCAAUGCCGCGUGAGUGAUGAAGGCCUUAGGGUUGUAAAGCUCUUUUACCCGGGAUGAUAAUGACAGUACCGGGAGAAUAAGCACCGGCUAACUACGUG
RNAcentral lists this ribosomal RNA (433 nucleotides) under uncultured bacterium. RNAcentral describes it as "partial 16S ribosomal RNA". It matches the Rfam family "Bacterial small subunit ribosomal RNA", at positions 29 to 507 of the family's 1533-position model. The record is from RNAcentral.